GCUGCAGUCGAACGGGCCGCAAGGCCAGUGGCGGAAGGGUGAGUAAGGCGACGGCAACCAACCCCGGGCUUGGGCAUAGCCGGCGGAAACGCCGGGUAAUUCCCAGCGACGUCCAUGGGGGGCAUCCCCCGAGGACCAAAGGUGCGAUUCCGGCACGGGACGGGCCGUCGUGGUAUUAGGUCGUUGGUGGGGUCACGGCCCACCAAGCCGAUGAUGCCUACCGGGCGUGAGAGCGUGGCCCGGCACACUGGGACUGAGACACUGCCCAGACACCUACGGGUGGCUGCAGUCGAGAAUCUUCGGCAAUGGGCGCAAGCCUGACCGAGCGACGCCGCGUGGAGGACGAAGGCCUUCGGGUUGUAAACUCCUGUCGAGGGGGAUGAAGGGGCGGCGAAGAGCCGUCCUUGACAGAUCCCUGGAGGAAGCACGGGCUAAGUUCGUGCCAGCAGCCGCGGUAAGACGAACCGUGCGAACGUUAUUCGGAUUCACUGGGCUUAAAGCGCGUGUAGGCGGCCCGGCACGUCGGUCGUUGAAAGCCCCCGGCUCAACCGGGGAAUCGGCGCCGAUACGGCCGAGCUGGAGGGGUGUAGGGGGGCCUGGAACUUCCGGUGGAGCGGUGAUAUGCGUUGAGAUCGGAAGGAACGCCCGAGGCGAAAGCGAGGCCCUGGACACUUACUGACGCUGAGACGCGAAAGCCAGGGGAGCAAACGGGAUUAGAUACCCCGGUAGUCCUGGCUGUAAACGAUGGGCACUGGGCAGAGGGAUCGUCCAUGGUCUCUCUGCCGCAGCGAAAACGUGAAGUGCCCCGCCUAGGGAGUAUGUCGCAAGGCUUGAAACUCAAAGGAAUUU
Molecule: ribosomal RNA, 849 nt
Filed under: uncultured bacterium
Lineage: Bacteria
Description: bacterial SSU rRNA
Rfam family: Bacterial small subunit ribosomal RNA
Source: RNAcentral